Molecule: ribosomal RNA, 253 nt
Filed under: uncultured bacterium
Lineage: Bacteria
Description: partial 16S ribosomal RNA
Rfam family: Bacterial small subunit ribosomal RNA
Source: RNAcentral
UACGUAGGGGCCGAGCGUUGUCCGGAGUUAUUGGGCGUAAAGCGCGCGCAGGCGGCCUCGCGCGCCCGACGUGAAAGCCCCCGGCUUAACCGGGGAGGGUCGUUGGGGACGGCGGGGCUUGAGGGCGGGAGAGGUCGGUGGAAUUCCCGGUGUAGUGGUGAAAUGCGUAGAGAUCGGGAGGAACACCUGUGGCGAAGGCGACGUGCUGGGUUGCACCUGACGCUGAGAUGCGAAAGUGUGGGGAGCAAACGGG